ACGAACGCUGGCGGCGUGCCUAACACAUGCAAGUCGAGCGGAGGUAUGGAGUAAUUUAUUACGAAGUAUCUUAGCGGCGGACGGGUGAGUAACGCGUGGGCAACCUGCCUUACAGAGGGGGAUAACAGUGCGAAAGUACUGCUAAUACCGCAUAACAUUCAGCUAUCACAUGGUGGUUGAAUCAAAGGAGAAAUCUGCUGUAAGAUGGGCCCGCGUCUGAUUAGCUAGUUGGUAGGGUAAAGGCUUACCAAGGCGACGAUCAGUAGCCGAUCUGAGAGGAUGACCGGCCACACUGGAACUGAGACACGGUCCAGACUCCUACGGGAGGCAGCAGUGGGGAAUAUUGCACAAUGGGGGAAACCCUGAUGCAGCAACGCCGCGUGGAGGAUGAAGGUCUUCGGAUUGUAAACUCCUUUGAUGAGGGACGAAAAAAAUGACGGUACCUCAAAAACAAGCCACGGCUAACUACGU
Molecule: ribosomal RNA, 471 nt
Filed under: uncultured bacterium
Lineage: Bacteria
Description: bacterial SSU rRNA
Rfam family: Bacterial small subunit ribosomal RNA
Source: RNAcentral